AGCAGCCGCGGUAAUUCCAGCUCCAAUAGCGUAUAUUAAAGUUGUUGCAGUUAAAAAGCUCGUAGUUGAAUUUCGGGAUCAAGGAAUCGGUCAUGCCUUGGUAUGUACUGGUUUUAUUGGUUCUCACCUUCUAAAGAACCAUAAUGUCAUUUAUUUGAUGUUAUGGGGAAUUAGGACUGUUACCUUGAAAAAUUAGAGUGUUUAAAGCAAGCUUACGCUUGAAUACAUUAGCAUGGAAUAAUGAAAUAGGACAUCAGAUUCUAUUUUGUUGGUUUCUAGGAUCGAUGUAAUGAUUAAUAGGGAUAGUUGGGGGCAUUAGUAUUCAAUUGUCAGAGGUGAAAUUCUUGGAUUUAUUGAAGACUAACUACUGCGAAAGCAUUUGCCAAGGAUGUUUUCAUUAAUCAAGAACGAAAGUUAGGGGAUCGAAGACGAUCAGAUACCGUCGUAGUCUUAACCAUAAACUA
This 464-nucleotide ribosomal RNA is filed under the name uncultured Glomus. Its description in RNAcentral is "SSU rRNA". It matches the Rfam family "Eukaryotic small subunit ribosomal RNA", at positions 569 to 1039 of the family's 1831-position model. The record is from RNAcentral. Lineage: Eukaryota; Fungi; Glomeromycota; Glomeromycetes; Glomerales; Glomeraceae.